This is a non-coding RNA of Pelobates cultripes (western spadefoot toad), 495 nucleotides long. Lineage: Eukaryota; Metazoa; Chordata; Amphibia; Anura; Pelobatidae. The record is from the annotation of a GenBank genome assembly.
CUCUCAACCCAGCCCAAGAAGAUGCUAUCACUUAAUCCAUCCAAGAGUUAUUGCAGUCUGGCAUAAUUAUACCAACCACCUCUACCUGCAAUAGUCCUCUGUACCCUGUUAAAAAGAAACAGGAGAAAGGCAAGCCAGUGGUAUAUCGCAUGGUGCAUGAUUUAAGAGCUGCUAAUGCUGUAACUGAAUUGAUUGCUCCUAAUGUUCCCAACCCUCAUACAUUGCUGUCACAAAUUCCACCUUCCUCUAAGGUGUUUACUGUCAUUGACCUGGCAAAUGCAUUCUUUUCUGUACAAUGGCACUCAGACGGUCAAUACCUUUUUGCAUUCACACACAAGCACAGACAAAACACACCGACGGUGUUGUCUCAAGGUGCUCAGAAUUUGCCUACCAUGUAUAGCAUGGCAAUGGCCCAAAUUCUAGAAGCUUGGCCAAGGGCAGAAGGUGUUGUGUUGUUACAAUAUGUUGAUGAUUUGCUUUGUAGCCAAGGAUAAG